CCUACGGGCGGCAGCAGUAGGGAAUAUUGCUCAAUGGGGGAAACCCUGAAGCAGCAACGUCGCGUGGAGGAUGACGGUUCUAGGAUUGUUAACCCUUUUUGUUAGAGAAGAUAAUGACGGUAUCUAACGAAUUAGCAACGGCUAAUUCCGUGACAGCAGCCGCGGUACUACGGCGGGUGCAAGCGUUACUCGGAAUCACUGGGCGUAAAGGGCGCGUAGGCGGGAUAGCAAGUCAGAUGUGAAAUCCUAUGGCUUAACCAUAGAACUGCAUUUGACACUGUUAUUCUAGAGUAUGGGAGAGGUAGGUGGAAUUCGUGGUGUAGCGGUAAAAUCCGUAGAGAUCAAGAAGAAGUCUCAUUGCGAAGGCGACCUGCUAGAACAUAACUGACGCUGAUGCGCGAAAGCGUGGGUAGCAAACAGGAUUAGAUACCCGAGUAGUC
RNAcentral lists this ribosomal RNA (440 nucleotides) under uncultured bacterium. Its description in RNAcentral is "partial 16S ribosomal RNA". It matches the Rfam family "Bacterial small subunit ribosomal RNA", at positions 338 to 795 of the family's 1533-position model. The record is from RNAcentral.